GGACUGUAGCCGACCAUGCCGGUACGUCAAAGGAUACGUAAAGUACACACGCAGAAAUUUAUAAGGAUAUAAUUCUUUAAUUUCAAUACUUUAAACAAUUUUGGAUGCGGGUUCAACUCCCGCCAGCUCCACCA
Molecule: transfer RNA, 134 nt
Filed under: Enterobacter hormaechei
Lineage: Bacteria; Pseudomonadati; Pseudomonadota; Gammaproteobacteria; Enterobacterales; Enterobacteriaceae
Description: tRNA-OTHER
Source: RNAcentral